Long non-coding RNA from Papaver somniferum (opium poppy), 3266 nucleotides. RefSeq lists it as uncharacterized. The record is from RefSeq and is a predicted model, not a curated record. Lineage: Eukaryota; Viridiplantae; Streptophyta; Magnoliopsida; Ranunculales; Papaveraceae. The transcript has 2 exons.
AGAAAAUUCCUAGAUAUUGCACAUUUUCAAUUGAAAAAUAAAAAAUAACACCUAUAGCAAAGAAUGAUCGAUGCAUUUACGUCGGUCUCUGCUGUUGUAGCAGUUAUCUAGUUUCUUCUUUCACCACCUGAAAUCAAGAGAGGAGUGGCGGCAUCAUUACAGUGAGGAUGAAUUAAAGAAGAACACGAUGGGAUAGAUCGAAUUGUUUGCUGUUGAAAUUGAGAAGAAGAUGGUGCUGCUUUGAUACAGCUGCUGUGGAGUAAUUAGAGAUGGGUUCGGUGAAUCCAAGUUUAGAACAGAGAAAAUCAGAUUGAAUCUGAGAUGAAGAAGAAUUGUUAGACGGGUUUAUUGUAAUUUGAGGUUGAGGUCGAGCUGCUGUCAUUACAGGAUUAAGAAUCAGAGAGUGGUUCUAAUGGCUAGGGUUUGAAAGAUGAGAAGACAAGAAAGAAAUUGGGUUCGAUUAAUGAAGUUCUGAGAAGAAGCUGAGAAGAUUACAAGGGUUUCGAGUUCUGACGCCGUUAAUUGAAGAUGAUGGUUGAGUUCACAAAGAUUAGGUAUGAAUCUGGUGAAUCAGGGAGGAAGAACUCAAGUUGUUUGUAUCGAUGGUUGAAGUCAAGACAAGAAAUUAUGAAGUUCAGUGAGAUCUGAAGGCAGAGAUGAUUGAGCUCAUGGUGGUUCUGAUGGGUAUAACAGUUCAGAUUCAAAGGAAGGCUGAGCAAGGAAAUAGAGCAGACAGAAGAGAUGUUGGUUCAACUGGAAGCAACAGGAUUGUGGUUUGCAGGUUAUUGAACUGAUGCAGGUGAUGAUGUUGAGUUUAGUGAGAUGAGCAAAUGAAGUACAGGUUGGCUGUGUUGAGCUAUUGGAGCUGGUAAAGCUAGAGAGGGAGGAAAUGAUGUUGAAAUUGGUACUGAGAAGAACAUGGAAGAAGAGAAAAUAGAUGGGAAUGUGUUAAUGUUGUGUGUUGUUGGCUGGAGGUUGUGCACAUGAGUCAGGUGGUUGAGAAGAUGGAUUAUGCAGUUGAGAGUUAGCAGGUGGAUUUAGUGACUUUCAUGGGUAUGAGUAGCUGGUUGUGCUGAAGCUGUUGCUAUAUUGUGAAGUUGCAGUGAGGCCAUGGAAGAUAACAAAUCUAAAUUGGAUUAGAUGGCUCAAAGGGUGUUGAUGCUGCACUGUUAGCAGUGCAGUUCAAGUUGUUAAUGGCGGUGAUGUACUGGAACUGAAGGUGCAUCUACAGUUAAUACAUUGGUAUAAGGUUGAAGUCUGGAGAUGCAGUUCAAGUUGUUGGUGGAAUGAAUCUGUAGUUAGUAGGGUCCGAGUCCGAGAACUCAGUAUUGCAGGUUAGAUGUUUGUGUAGGAUUGUUGGGUUGCUUAUGAAUUUGAGAGUGCAGGCAAGAGUGUACUAGUGUUGAACUGGUGAAUGCAGCUCAGAUGUAUGCUGAGAAGCUUGUUCUUGAGCUAUAUUGCAGAGAGAAUGGAGCAGUGAAUGAUGAAUGAGCUGUUGUGGCAGUCACUGAAAUUGGUUGGCUGAGAAGGCGAAGUUAGUGCCAUUGAUGUUGAUUGCCUGGGGAUUGUGUUGCAGUUUGUUGUGAUGCUGCAGUUGCAGUUAGUGCUGCAAUGACCAAAAGGGGUGAAGGCAAUGGCUAGGUAAUGGUACUCAGCUGACGUAAAUGGUGUUGAUCGGUGAUGGCAUAUUGCAAAACGUUGCAGUUGAGCUAGUGUGCAGUUGAAAUUACAAGCAAAUAUGAGAUGAAGCUGAUGGAAUGGAUGCAGACAAGAAAAUGGAAAUUGCAGGAUGAAUAGCCAACAUGGCUGGAAAUGAAAUUUGUGAAGCCUUGGCCUUGGCUAUUCAAUUCAGACUAGUCAGAUUAUGCAAUUAGCUGACUCGGUAUUGAUUCAGACUCUGACUCAUGCUUUGACUCUGUCGGCUUGACUCAGUUGACCCGACCGAGUUGAUUCAUUUGACCGGUGACCGGGUGGACUUCGCCGGUCACCUGAGCACUUCUCCGGCUAAGUUCCGACGCUAGCACCAGUUUCCGGCGAGAUAUUUGUGGCAAAUUUUUACAUGGGUAUUUCUUUUAUGUGGGCUUGGUGGACAUCUUGUUAUUGGACUUUGGGCUUUGAAGAUCUAAUUUUGGAAAGAUGAAAAGCUACAAAAGGAGAAAGUUUCUACUUUCUUUAGAUAUCGCGUAUUUUUCUACUUGAAGUUUUGGAGAGCGGCGAUUAGGGUUUGCUUUCAUUUAUUUUUCAUCUUCUUCAUUUCAUCUUCUAUUGUUGAGGGCCCCUCUUCGACCAAGCGAAAAUCCGUUUGCCCGGAUGGGGACAGUCCCCAAGCGAAGGAGCGAAGGUCUAAAAGUCGUGCAGAUGUUCCCAGUCGGAUUCGACGACUCUUCCGACUUUCAGUUCUUUUAAUAUGCGAGGUCUCAGCAGCGUGAACGCCUUUACCAAACUUGGAAGUAGUCAGAAAACAACGUUUCUUGAGACGGAGGGCGGUGAUGUCGAACCUAUCCGUGGUGAAGGGGAAUCCGAGAAGGAAGAAAGUUCGGAGUCCAGUAACGGCGAGAAUAGUUCUUCUGACAGUAGUGUUGAGUCUUCCUCCUGUGGGUCCGAAAGUGAAUCAGUGAGUCUUCCAUCUGUUUUUUUUUUUUUGAAGUAAAACCAAAAUCUUGAUAUCCCAGGAGAAAACCGUUCUCGAGGUUGGCCUUGAAGUAGAAACUCGCCACGGUGAAGAAGUGAUCGUACCUUCAACUACAGAAACCGCGCCGGCUGGCGACUUGGACAUUGAAGUUGAUCAUCCCGAAGACGUUGCCGCGACUCGAGUGGCUGAGAGUACUCCAGUGACUGCUGGCGCAAUUGUAGUUAGAAAUCCCUUGCUGGUUGCUGAUUCAGUUACGGGUGCCACCUUUGUUCCUCCAUACCUGGUUCCCUAUCCAUAUCAUGUGCUGGUCGGUGGCUUCAGCGUGAGCCAAAUACGAGACGCUAUAUAUCAAGAUAUCGGAAAGGUAUGGACACAUCGCAGCAACCAAAAAGGUCACUAGUAGGUUCGCGCUGGUCAAGCGUGUGGAGGAAGCUUUAUCUUCGAUUGACGACAUGUGCAAAGUGACUGGCCAUACCGUUUCUGAGGACGUGGCCUCAAGCUGGAAGUUCCAUCGUGACGUAUGCGUGGACCACGGGUUCAACGUUUCCUGGUUUGUUGAAGGUUUCUCUAAGAUCGAAAAGUUGCAUACCAUGGCGGUUGAAGGCAUUUCCAUGGAUGAGGUCGCACAGCAGGA